This is a long non-coding RNA of Ochotona curzoniae (black-lipped pika), 330 nucleotides long. RefSeq lists it as uncharacterized. The transcript has 2 exons. NCBI's taxonomy places the organism in Eukaryota, Metazoa, Chordata, Mammalia, Lagomorpha, Ochotonidae. The record is from RefSeq and is a predicted model, not a curated record.
AACAACACUGUGCCACUGGUUCCUUCUUUGUAGGAGCUCCAAAGAGGGACCCACUGAGCAGGUGCCAUGAAGCUGCUCUACCUUUUCGUCCUGGUCAUCUUCUUCCUCUCUCAGGUCAUACAAGGCGAUGAAUACAACAAAGCUGGUUACUGUGACUCACAAACAAGUGUGUGCCUGAGGAGAAAGAGAAACUGUCAUUUUCCAAUGCCAGGCAUUUGCCCUGGAAGGAGCUUCUGUUGUUUAAGAAUACAGUAGAUGGAGAAAUUCAUGCUUGAUUAUCUAUGCAUGCUUUUCUGGAAAGCUGUGACCUCAUUAUAUCAUUUAUUCAUG